Non-coding RNA from Parasteatoda tepidariorum (common house spider), 516 nucleotides. Lineage: Eukaryota; Metazoa; Arthropoda; Arachnida; Araneae; Theridiidae. The record is from RefSeq and is a predicted model, not a curated record.
AAAAGAAAAUGGAGGAUAUCACGUGUUUGAAGAAUGUUGUCUCCAACAAGAGCAGGAAAAUUAGGUCUUGUAUACAUGAUAAUAUGGAAUUGCUCUUUGAUUAUUUAGAAAAGAUUCACAUCUGUCGUGUGUGCUAUAAUGACUGAAAAAGAUACUUCUAUCUCCUCCACCCCUCUUUUAGAAUUUUUUCAAUCGCCUGAAAGAUUCGAAGAAGACUGAUGCACUGAUCAUUAUGUACAGCGCUCAACCUGUUACACAACAAGAGCGUAUCAUUACUUCGGAUAAAAGGAAAAGACAUAGACUUGUGCUAACGGCGCACUCACUUUCAAGUGCAUUCUUUAUAUUUCCUGAUAUUUUUGUUUCGUUCCUGUUCUUUUAUCUUCAGGCUCUCCCUCUUUACUUGCUCCUUAGUCCUUGUCAAAGAAUUUUUUUGAGAGCAGUUUGGAAUGAAAAUCAAUAUAUUUCUGUAAAGAGUCCAAGAUUUAGUCAAUAAAACUGUUCCUAAAAAAUCUCCUA